RNAcentral lists this ribosomal RNA (301 nucleotides) under uncultured soil bacterium. RNAcentral describes it as "bacterial SSU rRNA". It matches the Rfam family "Bacterial small subunit ribosomal RNA", at positions 26 to 320 of the family's 1533-position model. The record is from RNAcentral.
AGGACGAACGCUGGCGGCGUGCUUAACACAUGCAAGUCGAGCGGUAAGGCCCUUUCGGGGGUACACGAGCGGCGAACGGGUGAGUAACACGUGAGCAAUCUGCCCUUCACUUCGGGAUAAGCCUCGGAAACGGGGUCUAAUACCGGAUAUGACUGCGCCAUGCAUGUGGUGUGGUGGAAAGUUCUGGCGGUGAGGGAUGAGCUCGCGGCCUAUCAGCUUGUUGGGUAGGGUAAUGGACCUACCGAAGGCUUCGGACGGGUAGCCGGCCUGGACGAGGGUCGACCGGCCUAGACGUGGGACU